GCAUAAUCAUUAGUUUUUUAAUUGGAAGCUGGAAUGAAAGAUAGGAACUAAAGAGAUAAGUUUUUUUUAAUUAGUUUGAAUUUAAAUUUAAGGUAAAAAUGCUUUAAUAACACCUCGGGACGAGAAGACCCUAGAAGCUAGUAGAGUGGUAAGACUUUUUGAUUGGGGCAAUAAUUAAAGAGAUGAAUUUUUGAUUUUAAAUUUAUAAAAAAAAUAAAGUUACUUUAGGGAUAACAGCGUUAUUUAGUUAGUGAGUUCUUAUUAAUAAUUAAGAUUGCGACCUCGAUGUUGAAUUAAAG
Molecule: ribosomal RNA, 299 nt
Filed under: Pseudopachylus alticola
Lineage: Eukaryota; Metazoa; Arthropoda; Arachnida; Opiliones; Gonyleptidae
Description: partial 16S ribosomal RNA
Source: RNAcentral